This 442-nucleotide ribosomal RNA is filed under the name uncultured bacterium. RNAcentral's name for it is "partial 16S ribosomal RNA". It matches the Rfam family "Bacterial small subunit ribosomal RNA", at positions 338 to 795 of the family's 1533-position model. The record is from RNAcentral.
CCUACGGGAGGCAGCAGUGGGGAAUAUUGCACAAUGGGGGAAACCCUGAUGCAGCGACGCCGCGUGAGCGAAGAAGUAUUUCGGUAUGUAAAGCCCUAUCAGCAGGGAAGAAGAAAUGACGGUACCUGAGUAAGAAGCACCGGCUAAAUACGUUCCAGCAGCCGCGGUAAUACGUAUGGUGCAAGCGUUAUCCGGGUUUACUGGGUGUAACGGGAGCGCAGGCGGCACGGCAAGCCCGAUGUGAAAGCCCGCGGGCCAACCGGGGGACUGCAUUGGGAACUACCGGGCUGGAGUGACGGAGAGGUAGGCGGAAUGCCUGGUGUAGCGGUGAAAUGCGUAGAUAUUAGGAGGAACACCAGUGGCGAAGGCGGCUUACUGGACGGUGACUGACGCUGAGGCUCGAAAGCGUGGGGAGCAAACAGGAUUAGAUACCCGUGUAGUC